RNAcentral lists this transfer RNA (86 nucleotides) under Didymella exigua CBS 183.55. It matches the Rfam family "tRNA". From Rfam's summary of the family: Transfer RNA (tRNA) molecules are approximately 80 nucleotides in length. Their secondary structure includes four short double-helical elements and three loops (D, anti-codon, and T loops). Further hydrogen bonds mediate the characteristic L-shaped molecular structure. tRNAs have two regions of fundamental functional importance: the anti-codon, which is responsible for specific mRNA codon recognition, and the 3' end, to which the tRNAs corresponding amino acid is attached (by aminoacyl-tRNA synthetases). tRNAs cope with the degeneracy of the genetic code in two manners: having more than one tRNA (with a specific anti-codon) for a particular amino acid; and 'wobble' base-pairing, i.e. permitting non-standard base-pairing at the 3rd anti-codon position. Lineage: Eukaryota; Fungi; Ascomycota; Dothideomycetes; Pleosporales; Didymellaceae. The record is from Rfam by way of RNAcentral.
GGGCGCUUGGUCUAGGGGUAUGAUUUUCGCUUCGCAUCGAUUGAUGAUACUGUGAAAGGUCGUGGGUUCAAUUCCCACAGCGUCCA